Molecule: unclassified non-coding RNA, 972 nt
Filed under: Hevea brasiliensis (rubber tree)
Lineage: Eukaryota; Viridiplantae; Streptophyta; Magnoliopsida; Malpighiales; Euphorbiaceae
Source: RNAcentral
GCACAAAAUUCAUUAUUGUUAUAAAAUUAAAAUCAUGGCAAAUUCCACUCUACACAAGGAAAAAUAAUACAACCCAAUAAAUAAUUCAUUGACAUACAAAAGUUUUCAUUUUCACUUUUAUUUUAUUUUUCUCCCUCUAAACGAGUAAAGAAAAGAGAAGAAAGGUAAAUCAAAGAUGGGAUUUCCCUAUAUUCUUGAUUUAUUAUCUUCUCUGUAGCAACUAACAAACAAGCUACAAGUAAGCCCCACAAGAGGGGUCGGUUCAUUUUUCUGUUUCUCUUUUUCUUUUAUUUAAAUUACAGGAUCCCAUACGUCCAAGAAUCUUGAUCCAAAACCAUUCUUGGGCACUGAUUGAUAGGUGGAGGAUUAUGAUUAAUAGCAGCUACUUGCUUUCUAUCAUAAUCGGCAUCAUUGAUUAGCAAAUCCCAACAACUACUUAAGUCAUCACCCCACAAAUCAGUAUCAUUAACAGGCCACUCAAAAUCUGAGAAUUGAAAAUCUUCAAGAAAGUUAUUGUUCGAGCCAUGGGAAGAUGAUGAAGGCGAAGAAGUUGUCGUUGAUGAAGAAGAAGGUGCACAGGGGACCAACAUUUCAUGGGGUUCAAUUAAGGGAACUUCAUCUAUGCAAAAACCAUUAUUCAUUAACUCCAUUGUAUCAAAUGUGCUUAUCAUGCUUUUAUCUUCCUCUACCUUGGCUUCUUCGGUAAUGCUUGAUUGAAUAGAUGUUUCUGUUUCCUUCUUGUGUUCCAGUUCUGCCAUGGCGUUAGUGGAGCAAGAUUGUGCUUGUUGCUGUUCUUGCACUUCUUGUUGUUCUUGAGGUGGUGGUGUUUCAGUGGUAGGAAGUGGCUUGUGGGUGAGAGGAUCAAUGCCCAUUUUUCUAAGCUUUUUCUUGAUGUGCGUAUUCCAGUGAUUCUUGAUUUCAUUAUCAGUUCUUCCAGGUAAAUGAGACGCAAUCUUGGACCAUCUGUUGCCA